Molecule: ribosomal RNA, 346 nt
Filed under: uncultured fungus
Lineage: Eukaryota; Fungi
Description: bacterial SSU rRNA
Rfam family: Eukaryotic small subunit ribosomal RNA
Source: RNAcentral
UCCAAGGCAAGGCAGCAGGCGCGCAAUUACCCAAUCCCAACACGGGGCAGGUAGUGACAAUAAAUAACAAUCCAGGGCCCUUUGGGUCUUGGAAUUGGGAUGAGUACAAUUUAAAUCCCUUAACGAUUAACAAUUGGAGGGCAAGUCUGGUGCCAGCAGCCGCGGUAAUUCCAGCUCCAAUAGCGUAUAUUCACCGUUGUUGCAGUUAACAAAGCUCGUAGUUGAAUUUUAACUCUGGCUGGGCGGUCCACCAAUUGGUGGCACUGCUCUGGCUGGGGUUCACCUUCUGGCGAGCCGGGCAUGCCUUUAUUGGGUGUGCUGGGGAGCCAGGACUUUUACUUUGACA